UGAAAUUCGUGAGAUGAAAUUUGUCCCCCAAACCGAGGAAGGUGAAACUUUACUUGGCCGCUUUAUCACGUGUUGCAUAAUCGUGGCCCUUUAUGAGUCGACUGGAGUAGGAAACCAACCCCAUCGACAUUGACAGAAAUGCUCGCUACUCCGUCAAGAGUAUUUUUCCUCUAGUUUGGACUCGUCAACUACUCUUAUAAAUGGAAUUGCAAUAGAAAUGGAGACAGAAUUUUCUGCUCACAUCAAACGUCUAUAACAACUGGAUUACUAUAAUAUUCCCACACUUUUAAAUUUUUGACAAAUAUCGUAGUAGAAAAUGACUUCGACACUAGACGAUGUCAUCUAGCAUGUCACGAGUUACAUUGGUUCUUUCAGGAUUAGAUCGAAUUUUGUCUAUAUUGAUAAUUGUUGUAGACAUUGUUGAAUUGAAAUAAAAAUAAAUAUCUGGUAUAUUGAUAAUUGUUGUAGACAUAUCUGGUAUAUUGAUAAGUGUUGAAUUUACACUUAUUUAUAUCACUAAAAGUGGGUUUUGUCAGCGUUAUUUUGGAUUUAAUACUUCAUUACUUCCAUAUUCUAGAUUAUUUUAAGAGAAAACCUGAAAUCGGAUCAAGAAGGACAAUGUCGAAUGAAAGUUGUGUUUUUGGAAUAAAAUCCCACACUUUAUAAGUUGAUGGACUAAAUUGCAACAUUUGAAAGCGUGGAGGCCUUGGGGAGAAAUGUUAUAUUCGAUUGGGCUACUUGGACUUGGACUUGCAAUUGGAAUUAAAUUCGGAAAUUGAAAAAGAAAACAAAAGCAGGCAGCAUGAUCCUUUUGGACUACAAACAGCUUGUGACAGAAGGGAGAUUAAGGAGACCCAGAUGACUCGGACGGGGGGAGAAAAAGAAAGAAAGAAGAGAAAAAUUCCAAUUUUGGCUGGGCAAUCAAAAUUUUGUGCGACAAAUUGGGGAAUUACUCACAUUCGUCGUCAAAAUAGUCGGGAGAUUUAUACUACGCAAGGAAGGAGACAAAGAAUAUUGUUGGAAUUCGUGUGACUAAGGAUCGACAACAGCUCGAAGUUAUUUUUAUCUUAUUAAUUGUAAUUGAACUCGAUGAUGCCUUUUAACUUUUAUUUGUUUAAUUCCA
This 1123-nucleotide long non-coding RNA is filed under the name Olea europaea subsp. europaea. Lineage: Eukaryota; Viridiplantae; Streptophyta; Magnoliopsida; Lamiales; Oleaceae. The record is from RNAcentral.